Non-coding RNA from Cinara cedri, 719 nucleotides. The record is from the annotation of a GenBank genome assembly. NCBI's taxonomy places the organism in Eukaryota, Metazoa, Arthropoda, Insecta, Hemiptera, Aphididae.
GUGUGCGUGCGUAUCGAUGCGGUCUGUGUCCCGCACCGCGAUUUACUUUUCCCAUCGGGAACGAUAAUAACAACAACGGCGUUUGUGGCCGUAGUGCAGCAUUUUUCCACCGAUUUUCUUAUCGUCAGUUUUCAUUUUUACCCUAGCUCGGAAAAACGGCCAUGCCGCCGGCCCGACACGUGAACCCGACCGUCCGAAGUGUACGACGAAUCGCGACCAGCGCCUCACAGUGAUCUCUUACCUGUAUAUUUAUUUCGGAAUUUAUAGGAAUACUGUUUUUUCCGGCAAUAAUAUUAUAGUUUGAUAAUUAAAAUAUAAUGUGCGUCCUACGUGAAUCGCUUUAUAUCGUAUAAUCAAAUAUUAUGCACUAUAUUUGAUUAAGUGCGUCACGUGUAGUUAGAUUCGUAUACACAAGCGCAUACUCACGUCUCAAAUAGUAUUAAAGCAUUAUAAUUAUUUUCUUUUUACACCGUGUUUGUUAUCUGUGGGUACUCCAGUCGCGUCGUUUCCCCUUAUCAGUCGUGAUACACGAUAAAAUAUAGUGCCGCCGUCGCCGGUGCGACCACCAGCGUAAUGGCUGAACUGAACGUGGACUUGACCAGGUUGCCGGAAGAUGUUCGUGAGAAGCUCGCAGAACUAGAGCUCGAAUUGUCUGAAGGCAAGUACCUUAUUGCCUCUGCUUUUACCCCUGCAUGACUAAAUCACUGCAGUGUCAGUUC